GGCCCUGAGAAGGAAUUUGAGACAGUAUUCCUAGCUCUACGGGGUGCAGCAGUUGAGGAAAUUUUACAAUGCUCGAAAGAGUGAUAAAAUAAGCCAGAGUGUUUCGUUUUACGAAACUUUUGUCUGCAGUAAAAAGGCAGACGAAUAAGGACUGGGCAAGACCGGUGCCAGCCGCCGCGGUAAUACCGCCGGUCCGAGUCGCAUCCACAUUUAUUGGGUCUAAAACAUCCGUAGCUUGUUCUGUAAGUCUCUUGUGAAAUCUCAUGUCUCAAGCAUGAGGCGGGCACGAUAUCAUGCAUUACUAGAGACCGGAAGACGUAAGAAGUACGAUUAAGGUAGCGGUAAAAUGUGUUAAUCUUAAUCGGACUAACAAUGGCGAAGGCAUCUUACGAGUACGGAUCUGACAGUGAGGGAUGAAGGCUAGGGGCGCCAAAGGGAUUAGAUACCCCUGUAGUCCUAGCAGUAAACACUGCUCACUAAACAUUAGUACCUCCUAGAGAGGUAUUAGUGCUGUAGGGAAGCCGAAGAGUGAGCUACCUGGGAAGUAUAGUCGCAAGGCCGAAACUUAAAGGAAUUGGCGGGGGAGCACAAUCG
RNAcentral lists this ribosomal RNA (594 nucleotides) under uncultured euryarchaeote. RNAcentral describes it as "bacterial SSU rRNA". It matches the Rfam family "Archaeal small subunit ribosomal RNA", at positions 287 to 884 of the family's 1478-position model. The record is from RNAcentral. Lineage: Archaea; Methanobacteriati; Methanobacteriota.